This is a non-coding RNA of Vicugna pacos (alpaca), 11201 nucleotides long. The record is from RefSeq and is a predicted model, not a curated record. NCBI's taxonomy places the organism in Eukaryota, Metazoa, Chordata, Mammalia, Artiodactyla, Camelidae.
AGCAUUCUUUUUCAUCUGCUUAUUUGCCAUCUGUAGAUCUUCUUUGCUGAGGUGGUUAUUGAGAUCUUUGCCCAUUUUUAAAAUUGGACUGUUUGUUUUCUUGUUGAGUUUAACUGUGUAUUUUGGGUAGCAGUUUUUUAAAAAUAAAUAUGUGUUUUGCAAUACAUUCUAAUACAUAUGAAAUAAACACAGGGGUAUUUAAAUAGAACAUACUUGUUGGGGUGUCACCUAAAAUGACUUCCGGUGCCAUCUGUGGCUGCACACAGCAUCUGGGGGUAUGCGACUUACAUGUCCCAGCCAGAGUGCAGCAGCAGUGACACUCACUCACUCCCGGGGACGCGUGUUAAUGCUGAGCUACCAGUGCAGGAAGCUCACUUCUCAGGCUGCAGCCUGGACGAGGCGUCUCUACUUCAGACAGACCAGCCAACACGACCUGCGCUGCAGGAGACUUAGCUCACACAACGCUCCUCCAACACUGCUAGCCUGGAGACUCGCUUCCACAUAGAUUUAAAGGCGUUUACUUCCUAAUGGUUCAUCCCCGUCUCAGUCCACUCAGGCUGCUCCAGUACCAGGACGCCUGUCUGGUCAACAACAGGAAUUCACUUCUCCCAGGUCUGGAGGCCAGAGCCGAGGUCAGGGCUGGGGGGCCAGUUCCGGCCAAGGCCUCUCUGAGCAGCAGACGCUGUCUUCUUGCCGUGGCCUCCAGUGGCUGACAGGGCCGGGGAGCUCCCCGUGGCUUCCUCCACAAGGGCACUAACCCCAUUAUGAGGCCCCUGCCUUUAUGACCUCACAGGCCUCACCUCCUAACACCAGCACACAGGGGGCCAGGUUUCAACACCUGAGUUGUGGGGGUCCCUAACAGCAUCUCAGCACACUCGAUGUCCACAGUGUGAACGAGGAGCGGCAGAGAGCUCUGCUCAGCACCUCGUCCUGCGAGGGGGCACCUGCCGCAGCCGCCGGCCGACAGUGCGCUGGGCCUCAGAUGGAGGAAGUCGGGAUGGUGACAGGGCGCUCUGUGCUGUGCUAGCAGACCCCGUAGACAGCUGGGCGCACGUCUUGGGAAGAACGUUAAUGACCCCAGAUGCCCGCAUCUUCCCAUACGCAGAAAAGCACCAAGAUCGUUCACCUGAGACGUCUGUUCUUUGGGACCAGCAGCAACCUUUUACCAAGCCGCCCAACGAUGGCCAGUGGCGUACCCGUCAGAGGCUGUCUCUGGGCUACGGUUCUCAGGAAGACCCUGAAGAAAACAACUCACAGCUCUCAUGCUCUGUGUUUUUCCCUUUCAGGCAACACCACCGCCUCCUGCUCCCUCCUAGAGCUGGUCUUGUUAACAGAGAGUCUUAGACACGCUGCCUCUACCAAAGAUGAGUUCUGCUUUCCAAUGACAUCAGCAAAGAUGAUGGAACCUUCUAGCAGAUCUUCCCAAGAGAGGCUCUGUCUAGUGACAGCACAGACAGAGAACAGGAUGGGAGACAGGAGGCCUGAGCUCCCACGGUGAUUUAGACUCGUGGUGUGAGUCUCACGGCUUCUCUGAGGCUCAGUUCUGAACAUAAAGCAAGUGACUGGAAUGUUCUCUCUAGUUACAACACUUUUAUGAUUCAAUGAGUUUUGAAGCUUACCUUUAAGACACAGGAAAUUGCUACAUUAAAGCGUCCGCACGAGUCGCAGGACGUGCUCAACACUUCGCCACAAGAGGAAGGAAACAGUAGCUUUCACCUUCUCCCCAGCUGAGACCUGAAACAAACAACAAAGCCAGAGGCAGAAAAUCACUGCCCCUCCAAGGCGACUGUGCCCUCGCAGGGGACACGCUGUGUGCUGGUAUCGGGCUAAACACCUUUAGUGACAGAUACGAAUCCGAAUAAAAUGGGACAGAAGAUCUUCAGUGAAAACAUGUCUGAAGUUUGACAGUCACCGCCACUUCAGACCAGCACCACCAGCAGCCCGCGGCUAAGCCGGGGGCCCAGCUCCACGGCUGGUGCAGAGCGUGGGCUCUUCCACCGUUUUUCUGGAGAAGCGGGCUCACCGCACCGCCUUUUUCUUAUUGAUCUGUAAGAGCGUUUCGUGCAUUAAUCAUGAAAACACUGCUAUAGUGGUUACGCAGUAACUCAUUCAAGGCUCCUUCCCAUCUCUGGCUGUAAACCCGGUAGAAGAUCUCUGGAACCCCUGGAGGAUGCCGGGCCGCUUGCCCGGUCCCCUGCUGCCCUGGAGCCGCGCUGUGCAGGGGUGUUUGUGGCCAGCGGGCUCCGGGGUGCAGGGCAAGCGCGGGGACCGGGGCUGGGGGUGGCCCUGGACAAAUGGCCCUUCUCACUGUCACCCCGCUCCAAUUCCAUCUUCUUCAGCACACAAAGAGCACUAAGGCCUUCGCAGGGAUUAACAAGCCACACAUUAUGCUUCAAGAAUUAUGUGACAUUUCGAUGGCCCUGACAUGUGAAAGGCUUCCAUUGUGUCUAGACUCAAAUGCACCACCAGCUCUCAUGAUGUCCUGGUUAGAAGCCUAUUUUCUGUUUGUAUCCUCAGAUCACAAGCAAUUGCCUCCUGGAGUCUGAAGACGACGUUUCAGUUGCACACCCAGAGAACCACCUGUGCACGGGAACCGGGUCAAUGACUCUGAAGCCUCCAGACUCGCACUUAGUGCCUCCGAGCACGAGGCUUCCACAGAGCUUCUCAGCCCACACGCUGUUUAACCUGAGCCCCCCUCUGUUCAUGACGAAAAGGAGGCCCGAUGUCGAGAGGAGGGUCGGGCAGAGCAGAACAGGAGAGAAAGGACAGGGCGCUGCACCGGGGGACAUCCACCUUCCUCGGAGGUCGACACACCACCCCCCUGAAAACAGCGAGUCAUACACUUUCAUCUCUACCCAGAUCACUUUAUAACAUCCUAUCAAAGAGAUACUUGGUUAAAUCACUUGUUACUUCUCAAGUAAAACCAAGGUAUGUUUAUAGUCAGGGGAGGCACUCCACUCUGUGGCUGCAACAGACGUGAAGGAUGUCUUGACAACGUGCUCCACAUCGACACCUGCGGACUCCACAGGCGACAUGCCUAGUCCACUGCGGGCGCCUCCUCUCCCUGCUGUUCACAAUCGCCUGUCCGUCUGACUCCUCUCGGACUGGCCAAUUCACCAAGCAAAACAGGAAGGGAAACGAUUCUCCCGGGCCCCGGGCCCAGGGGCAGCUAUCCACACGUCUGCACACGACUUUCUGUCUUAGAUGAAUCCUCUCACGCUGAGAUUGCAGAAACAGACACGCUUCAAGGUUCUGUCAACAAUUUAAGCUUCUUUCUGAUCUUUGAGAAGAUUAUACAUUUUCCUUAUUACAAAUUAACACAUUUCACUGAAGAAAAUUCACAUGAGCAGAAAGAAGAAAUAAUGACCAGCCAUAAACAGCGCCCGGGCCAUGCAUGCAAGGCUGCACGGGGGCAGCCUUACACGGCACACCGCUGUGUGUGCCCCUCCAUCAACUGCGUGACUGUGAACAUUGUGGUAGGUUUUCCCGGCCUUUCCAAAACUAUCCAGAAUUUUAAGAAAAUAAAUGAAUGAAUCAUCAUUACCCUUAGCUACCUGAAAGAUGCUCCGAAUGAAGGUGCCAAGAGCUCUGAUCUUUCCCUGGACCAGUGAAGCUGGCGCAGGUACUCGAGACCCUAGGCAGAGAGGAAGCAGCCUGCUUGGGCCUUCCCUGGGCCUGCGAUGCUCUGUGCCGAGGACAAGCAGGUUUCAAGGCCGCGGAGGUGGCACGCGGUUCCUUCUCACCCUCAGGGCCCUCCGACGGCCAUGCCCACAUCCAGCAGGAUUCUCACUGCGCUGGGCGCACACUGCGUUGUGGCUCGCAUGUCUCCCCAGGCAGGCCCCACUGCACCUCACUGCACCUAACCAUACCCUCUUUCCAGCUGAUACACCUGCCACUCCUCUUCAUUUUGAGGCCUUUUUCUUGGAAAUGCUCAAUGACCGACGUGCUGCUUUCUGGCCCGCCUCUUCUCGUGACAGUCACAGCCCAAAGACGACAGGGACACAGACACUGCACCAGCCCCGCCCCUGGUGGGCAGAGCAGGCGACAUGAGCCCUUCAUCCUGUUUUCAGCUCGAGGAUCCGUCAGCAGCUCGACCCCCCACCCGGGUCCCAGGCAUCAGCCAUGGGAGUGGCUCCGAGCUGCAGGAAGGAAAAGACGGGACGAGUGUCACUGGCUGGUGCCAAGAUGUCCUAGCACACAAUACGUAUUUUUAACCCUUUUCUUUUUUAAACAUACUGCUUAACAUCUUUCCUUUCAAUCUAAUCCUUCAAAUUUAUGGCCUCGUUUUGGGUUGAGAAAACAGAACAACAUUUAAGACCAAUCAGGAUGAUGUCGUACUGACCAGGGCAGAGAAACAGAACCAGCAGGACGCGAGCAUAGAGAGAGGCUUGUCUUAGGGAAUGGGCUCCCCCGGCCAUGGAGGCCGGCGAGCCCCAGAUCUGCAGGGGAGCCCAGGAGCCCCAGGACCCGGGGAGAGCUGCCUCUGCGGGCUGCGUCCGAGGGCUGUCUGCCGGCAGGACUUCUUAUCAGAAGCUCAGUCUUGCUAUACUUCUUCACCUGAUGGGUACCAGGCUCUAUCAAUCCCCUUUCCAAACCUCAAAAUUUGCUCCCCCUUCUCCCACAGCUGUUGCCACAUCUGGAUGCUCCGCACUUGGGCUCUACGUUAAACAGCUGCCAUCUCCUCUCCUUGCUCCGGCUCAAUCUGCAGCGCCAGGGCUGUUCCCUAAAACACCGAUGCAACCGUGCCAUCCUUCUGCUUAAAAGCUUUACUUGGUUUCCAGACCUUCGCUACAAACUCUGAACUUCUCAGCACAGAAUAUAAAGCCGUACCUCCAGUCUUUCCUGGGACAUCCCGAACUUUUCUUAUACUCCUGUUAGGGGCUGAGCUGUAUCCCCCCAAAAUGGUGUGUUGGCGCCCUCACUCCCAGUACCUCAGAACGUGACCUCAUUUGGAGACAGGGUCUUCACGCAGCUAACAAAGUUUAAAUGAGGUCAUUAGGGUGGAUCCCAAUCCAACAGGACAGGUGUCCUUACACAAGGGAAAUCUGGACACAGAGACAGGUAAGCACGAAGGGAAGAGGAUGUGAAGGAGGCAGAGAUCGAGGCGAUACACCGAUAAGCGAAGGGUCAUCAGAGAUGUCAGGAAACCACCAGAAGCUAAAAAAAGGUGCAUGGAACAGACGCUCCUUCACGGCCCUUGGAAGGAACCACCCCUGCCGAAACGCUGAUCUUGAACUUCCAGGCUCCAGACUGGGAGUGAAAAGGUUCACUGUUUAAGUCUCCAGUCUGAAAUUCUCGGUAUGGCAGCCCCAGCGAACUGAAACAAUAGCCCGUAUCCUGGCCACCUUCAUUCUCUAAUGCACAAUGUCAUGGCUCCAUGACGGAACUCACGUCACUUCCUCAGCAUGGGUGUCCUUCUCCUCCUCGAUCCCCCAGUGAACUGCUUCUCCUUCGGUCUGCUUCCUUCCUGCCCCUUGGGGCUUCCGCUACCACCUGUAUCAGGCCAACCUCUGCUCAUCCACAGAGGAGGUGGGCUGCCCAUCCGGCUGGUCAGAAUUCCCUGAUGCUGCGUGUCCUGGAAGCCCAGGUUACAGGACACUGAGAGGCUCAGCCAUGCUCUGCAACCUCUCCUUUUCUCCAAGUGGACAAGGGAACCUAGGACCCUGGCCAGCUGCUUCUCUGUGUGAAUGCUAACGCUGCUGGCCAGUGCCUGCAGCCUUGGGCCAUGUGGACCACUGGACUCUGGAUUUAGAUGCUGGGGGAAGGUCGACUCCUGAAUUCAUCAGAGCACCAAAUAGGGCUACUGUGUGCAGCUAAGGACACAGGUCACACUGGUAACUCUCCCAGAAGACCAAAACUGAAUGAUGAAAAUAACAGAACAGAAUAUCUGAAAUUAUGACUGCCCCAGAAAAUAGGGGACAUGCAGUCAUGGCGCCCAUGGGAAAGCUCAGCCUGGGAUCCUGGCCUCUGGAGCACCUGUCCUAAGCAGAAAGAGGGGCGAGAUGCCUACGGCUCACUUUCCAUCUCGCCUUGUUUCCUCUGUAGCAGCAAGAAUGGUCCAGACUUACUACUAUCGGAACAGUCACAAGACGAGCAUUUAAUUUCACAGCCAUUUGCAAGUUACACUGACCAUAAUAUGGUCAUCACUUGAUUGUUAACAAGAAGAAAACAUCUCAGAGAAAUAUAAGAGACUGUUACUGUACUGAAAGGAAAGGGAUCCAUCAUCCAAACGGGUUAUUCCAAAUUCGCCAUGUGUUAAGUAUUGCUCUGUCACUUCACCUUGAAAUGUCACAGGCUGUGAAUGCUGCCAGCAGUGUGGACCUGACGCCUCCAAGGAGCCGGCCUUUGAGAACAUAAUUUAAGCAGCAAGAAGAGAAUGAAGGCGGUGAGUCAGCAGUGAGUCACGGCAAAGCCACGGCGCUGCUGCCGUGCGGCUCCCCACACGCGCUCAUCGGCAGCAGUGAAUUGGUUUUUUCCAUCUUGCUUCUUUUUUUCCUGAGUAACCUCAGUAUGAAUCAUGGUGGGUGGUCUGCACUCAAACGGAGAAACUCUUGAUCACAAUGAACAAAACAUUGCUUUAACUUCUCAAAAGACUCUUCGAAAGAUCCGGCAGGCAGCGCGUGGACAUUUGUGGUCACGGACAGCGCCACUUUCCCACUUUCCUCCGAGGGACGCUCGCAGCCCAGAAGGGCCCGGGGGAUGGUUGAAAAACAGCAACGGAAAGUGGGCCUGGAGCCCACCCAACCCCAAGUGUGUGUGCAUUCACAAUGAAUAUUUUUAAAAAAUUAUUAACGAGGAUUUCUUUUUUUCUGGCCACGGGUGACCAAACCACAAAUGUAACUGGGGAACCAUCAAAGAACAGCUCCGUCCCUGCUGGUUUCCCUGUUCUGCUGAAGGAAGAUCAUUAGGGGAAAUGGUGAAAACCCACUCAGGCCAAGGACUGUGUUUCAUGCCCCGCUGCGCCCUCCACGUUUGACAACCAAAGCAGCAGGCAUGGUAAGCUCUCAACACACAUUACAUAAUUCACCCACGCGACAUUAGCACCAAAGCACGUUUUGUGCCUCGGGCGAGGACAGGAAGGCAGCGUCCUCCCCGCCACCGCCCCUGUGGCCGUGGGUGCGACUCUCGGCUGGAAGCGCUGAGCCUGCCGGCCUCUCGCUCGGCUGGGGAGCACUGUGUGAUGGGCUGAGUGCUGUUCUCCCACACGCACAACACCCAGAACCUCAGACAGUGGCCAUACUGGGAAAUAGGAUCUCUACAGAGACAAUCCAGUGAAGAUGAGGUCUCACUGCAUUAGAAUGAGCCCUGAUCCAAAGAUAGGGUCCUACUAAGAAGAGGGGGAUUUGGAGGCAGACACAGAGAGGCGAAGUCCGGAGGAAGCAGGAGGCAGAGGCCACAGUGCUGCAGCCACAGGACCGUGCCGGUGACCAGCAGCAGCUGGAAGAGGCUGAGAAGGGUCGUCCCUGCAGCCUCUGAGGGAGCGAGGCCCCACUGAUGCCUGCUUUCUGAACUUCAGCCUCCAGAUCCAAGGAUGAAUUUCUGUCGUCUUCCACCAGCUCGUCUGUGCACCUGGAGCAGCAGCUGCAGGAAGUGAAUCCUCACUGCAGCCUUGGCUCCACGGCCUCGAGGCCCCUCGGAGCCGGAACAGGCCUGCAGGGCAUGCACCCGCCGCCUGGCAGCAGGGGACACCUCCACCAUGCACCGCAGCCCUGCAGCGGCUCACGCCCAGGGGCUGGCUGCUGGGACAGGCCGGCGGGGCGCUGACUCAGCAGGCGUUCAGAGGCCAUCAGAAAGGGUUGUCUGCAGCCUUUUUAAAGACUGGUAUGAUUUCUGACUUCCUCCCCGAGGGUUUGGAGGGAGAGGGAGGCAAUACACUUUAUCAGAUCUUCCCGAUUGCUACAGGAUCAUCAGACUCAGUGAAUUAAAAACCACUGAAGCCCGGGUGCUGCCAUCCAUCUCAGCUGCAAAUACGCCCGUCCAGGAGCUCCUGGACGAGCACAACCCAACGUGUCCGCAGGAAGAGGACACCUCAUUCCCAGUGGAAACAGAACGGAAGUCCUCUCAAAGAAAAGACACUCAGGCUUAGGGGAGGGUGUGACCCUCCUGGUCUGCAUCUUAACGUCCUGGAAGAAACGUCUCCUCUCACUUGGUUGUGGCAGGAGUCACACUCGCCGUGGGACGGGAAACCCGGCAGCGGGUCCCACUUGAGGCCUCAGAGAAGAGUCGGCUCUGGGCUGAGAGCAAGUGACAUCCAGGUGCAAAUAAAUGUCACAUUUUAGAGCAAACCCCACAAACGGACCUCAGACCUACAUCUGCCUCCCAGAAACGUUCAGCAAGGUCAGCCGUGGAUUGGGGCCAGAUCUCCUGGGGUUAGCGUGGAUUUCCACAAAACCCUGACCUCACACACCUGGAUUACGCAGUAAGCUGCCUUAGAUGCGGCUUCAACUAGAGGACAUCCAGGAGGCACGGCGAUCGCCCUGUCACGUGGCUCUCCAUGAAACACGGCGGCACCCCUGCUGGGCCCUCCGAGGGCCCCGGGAGCGCCCACCAGUCCCGUCCGUGGUGAGACCGCUGAGGCCCAGCGAGCAUGAAGCCAGCCCCCUUCUCGGCCCUCCGUCCACACGAAGCCGCUGCCCUCCUCCACCAGCCCCGCGCGGAAGGGGGCUGCCACCUCCCACCCCAGGAAAAGAAACGAGCUUGCUGCCCCCACGGCCUCUUUCCCACAAACCACACUUCAUCUCUGGAACGAAGGGGGACAAAAGGCUUUUUCGGUUCUGUGCUGUUUGCUGCUGCCUCACGAUAAUUUUGCAAAACUGGUAAGGAUGGAACCUUUCGUUGCUGCCAAUCCCAAGUGAAGCUUGUCACCUACCACCUGUCAGACGUGCGCAGGGGCAUCUGAGGGGCGGCUCGUCAGCCUUGCAGGCUGAGCUGAAAUGAGCUGGUGACUCCUUUACAAUGUUCUUACCUCCUCUCAAAACAGUUACUUCCCAGUUGUCACUCCUCACAGUCUGAGUCUGAUACCUGGUCCAUUUACGUCUGUCUGCCUUUCUUUUCUGAGUAUCACUGUGGCCGGCUUUUCCCUUCAUUUAAAAGAAUCCCAGAGAUGCUCCUCCUCUCCACCAUCGGUGUGCAGCCUGUGGCUCACGCUCUCCGUGGUCAUUGCUUCACCUUCCCCCUUCUUGAAGGCCAUGCCUGCGACUCUCCUCCCUAGACCACCCUGCAAACCACGGAAGGGCUGGAGACGUGGCCUUGCUUUUCCAUGAAAUUCUGGACGAAUGCAUCACAGCCGCACCAGGCCUGCUGGGAAGGAGGCUGAGGCCGCCCUGCGGCUCCGCUGAGACAAGCUCCUCGGUCACCUCCUCCCCCUCAAUCCCCCCCACCUGCCAUCCGGACCUCGGGGAUUUCCUCCUAAGGACCCCCGGAUGACCCAGAAAACCGCUCCUCCCCGGGCCCUCAGGGCUCUGGGAAGGACUUCGGUAGCAGACCUCACGCGCCGACUGCUGCACCCCCUUUAGACUCAGUCACAUGGGCUGACGCCAAGCAUAAGCCCGCCGCGGCAUCCACACCACGACAGCCAUGCUCGCGGGCCUCGGAACUCAGCGUAAACGGAAGCUGCCUCCUUCUCUGGUUCGUAAGACAAUAACCUGGCAAGGAAAUGUGAGUUACUAGUAAGCAGUGGAGUUACAGAAGAUGUGUAAGUUCUAUUUUGCUGAACUACGCUUGUCUUCCUCUUCAUAAACCGAACAUUUAUCCUUAUUUCAAAGCAUGUCCCAGGAGCACAGCUGGACUCAUGCAGAGAUGUGCUUCUUGUCUGGUACAGACCACGUUCUAAACAAGUGGUUUUGCAGAAUCAGAUGAAAAGUAGGUCAGCUUCACCCGGCAGGUCACAAUUACACAUGGUCAAGAAGGAUCUCGGUCCGAUGUGUUUGUCACAGGGAAGAGUGUUAGGAGUGCACCUCAGGGGUGUGAAAUUUCAGAUUUUCCAAGAGCAGUCAUUUUUUCCCCCUGUGCUACAAACAGCUCUUUUCCGGUCAUAUGCUUCACAACGAUGUAAUGUAUGAGAGGUGACAAAGAGGAUUCAGCCUAACUUUCAGGCCAGUGUCCUAGCAGCAUUCACACUAAGUAUUGUGUAAUGCCCUAUCUGUUAAUCCACUGUGCGGUUUUUUUCUAAUUUGAAACUCAGUCAAUACACUUAAACACAAAACCCUAUACAUAAAAGCUGCCUUUUCUGAAAAUAUAACCUUGAAGUUCAGCACUUUACUUGGAAGACCUGCAACACACUGUGGCGCAGCCGCCAUGAAGAGCACCUGCUUGCUGCUCCUGGCAGGGGUCUUAGCCCAGAAAAGAGAGCAUCACUUGGUGACCUCUGUGACUCCUUCACAGGCUGGCUUUUCUUCAUCAUUGUUCAACAUGUAUCAGGUCUUCACCUUACUCCAGGCACUAGCCUGGUUGCCUUGAAGGGUUUUUUUUUCCAAAAUGACAAAUAUUAGUUGAGAACUUAUUCUGUCCACAGUGGGUAGCUCAUACAGGUGAGCUAGACAGGAUCCUGUCCUUCCGUGAACCAAACCGAGUGCUAAGGAGGUGAGGGACUAGGGAAACCAGCCUGGAGAUCUGCUAGCGCACGUGUUCUGUGUGCUCCCGGGGCACUCAUCUGCUAGGUACCAAGUACCAAGGAGAACUGUGACACUGUUCAGUUCACGGCAAAGAGGAAACAGGCGCCAUGACCAGUGCUACAGACACAGACACGGAGGAGGGCUUUCCAGGCAGAGAGGAAAGCACAGAAAAGGAGAGAGAUGUGAAGCUGUGCCUCUCCCAGGAAACCACUAGAGGUUUGGUGCCAUGGGAAAGCAGGUGGGAGUGGGGCUGACACACGGCGAAGAGGUGAGAACCCAGACAGGGCCGUGAAUGCAGAGUCAAGGGGUCAGGUGGCAUCACACAGGGGAAGGGUCAUCAGAGUUGAGCUGUCCACGGAAGGUCCAAGUAACAGCUGGUGGUCAGAAGGACGCUACUGGGCUUUGCAAAUGUGACUGACAAAAGCACUUCUCCGCUGCUUCUGUCCUGUUCACUCUCACACACGUGCACAGUCACACGCAUGUAUGUUACAUAUUCUUACAGGUUUACCUGCUGGUCCCAAUAUGGUCCUUGUCCACAUCUUCAAGUUUUAUGGAAACUCAAGAUAAAUAAAAUACAACUCUCUCUUA